This 564-nucleotide ribosomal RNA is filed under the name Gordonia hongkongensis. RNAcentral describes it as "bacterial SSU rRNA". It matches the Rfam family "Bacterial small subunit ribosomal RNA", at positions 1 to 578 of the family's 1533-position model. Lineage: Bacteria; Bacillati; Actinomycetota; Actinomycetes; Mycobacteriales; Gordoniaceae. The record is from RNAcentral.
UUCAUGGAGAGUUUGAUCCUGGCUCAGGACGAACGCUGGCGGCGUGCUUAACACAUGCAAGUCGAACGGAAAGGCCCAGCUUGCUGGGUACUCGAGUGGCGAACGGGUGAGUAACACGUGGGUGAUCUGCCCUGCACUCUGGGAUAAGCCUGGGAAACUGGGUCUAAUACCGGAUAUGACCAACUGUCGCAUGGUGGUUGGUGGAAAGCUUUUGCGGUGUGGGAUGGGCCCGCGGCCUAUCAGCUUGUUGGUGGGGUAAUGGCCUACCAAGGCGACGACGGGUAGCCGACCUGAGAGGGUGAUCGGCCACACUGGGACUGAGACACGGCCCAGACUCCUACGGGAGGCAGCAGUGGGGAAUAUUGCACAAUGGGCGCAAGCCUGAUGCAGCGACGCCGCGUGAGGGAUGACGGCCUUCGGGUUGUAAACCUCUUUCACCAGGGACGAAGCGUGAGUGACGGUACCUGGAGAAGAAGCACCGGCCAACUACGUGCCAGCAGCCGCGGUAAUACGUAGGGUGCGAGCGUUGUCCGGAAUUACUGGGCGUAAAGAGCUCGUAGGCGG